CAUGCCGCCACGUCUGGCUAAUUUUUGUAUUUUUUUGUAGGUUUUGCUAUGCUCUCCAGGCUGGUCUUAAACUCCUUACCUCAAGGGAUCCUCCUGCCUCAACCUCCCAAAAUGCUGGAAUUACAAGCAUAAGCCACCCUACCUGGCCUUAAAUUUCAUUAGUUCUGGAAAAAAUAUUUUGAGGGGGACAGAAGGGAUUUUACUCUGCCUGCUUCGGUUUCCACAAGUUGCUUUCUCCCUGGGAUUAAGGUCAGGGGCAGGCCAGAACUGUGCUAUCCUGCAAGGAACAGAGUCCACCACUUUCCCUGGCUGGUUUUGGGGAUUCAGUGGGAGAAAAACAUCCCCCUUCAGCGGUCCUUAACCAGGGAAGCACUUCGGACCCUUUGGGAAGGAAGAUAAGCAUCCGCACGUUUCCAUGGAUUUGUCUGCUAAGACUUGUUAGGCUAAAAUGAGACCAUAGCUGUGAAUAUCCUUUGGCAGGAAAUGCAGUAGAGAAUGCAAGAGGCAACAAUGAUGGCUGGAAGAGAAGGGCCCCAAGAUAAUAGAGCCACACAUGGACCGGGC
Molecule: long non-coding RNA, 564 nt
Organism: Gorilla gorilla gorilla (western lowland gorilla)
Lineage: Eukaryota; Metazoa; Chordata; Mammalia; Primates; Hominidae
Exons: 3
Source: RefSeq, a predicted model, not a curated record